This 64-nucleotide transfer RNA is filed under the name Pipunculus sp. XL-2018. RNAcentral describes it as "tRNA-Glu". The record is from RNAcentral. Lineage: Eukaryota; Metazoa; Arthropoda; Insecta; Diptera; Pipunculidae.
AUUUAUGUAGUUUAAUUAAAACUUUACAUUUUCAAUGUAAAAAUAAAUUUUUAUUUUAUAAAUU